CGAUUGAGUGAUCCGGUGAAUAAUUCGGACCGCACCAGUGUCCAGCUUCUGGACGUUGGAGUGGAAAGUUUGGUGAACCUUAACACUUAGAGGAAGGAGAAGUCGUAACAAGGUUUCCGUAGGUGMACCUGCGGAAGGAUCAUUC
RNAcentral lists this ribosomal RNA (145 nucleotides) under Pfiesteria piscicida. RNAcentral describes it as "partial small subunit ribosomal RNA". It matches the Rfam family "Eukaryotic small subunit ribosomal RNA". The record is from RNAcentral. Lineage: Eukaryota; Dinophyceae; Peridiniales; Pfiesteriaceae.